GUCCCCUUUGCAGGGCUUCUCUACUCUGUUCUAAAUGAGAUUUCCGUCUAUUAAUUUUCAUGGAUACAAUACUAGAGCUUUUAAUUUAUAUACUUGAAUUAUAAGUUAAAUAGUAAUCAGAUCAAAGAAAAGUAAUAUUAAUAAUAAAGGCUCUGAAUCAUUCUGGCUUCCACGGUAAAUCUUCUAAAUCUAAUGGGAUUAGAUUAAAUUUUUAAACAUGAUUCACUACAGAAGCAAAACUCUGAUAAUUAUGUCUUUAUAACCACCAGUUCAGUUCUAUAUUCUCAGCACUCAGUGUGUCACUAGAGUAGAUAUCUAAUCAGCCCUUCUCCAAAUCUAAAUUUCAAUUUUAAACACAUGAACUAGAAGAAGGAAAAAAAAAACUCCAAGACCUAAAAGAACAAGGUUUAAACAGUUGACUGUUCUGGAGCAAAAUAACUGACCAGUUUUUGGUUUUAUUUUAUUUUAUUUUUUAUUUUUUGUUUUUUAUCAAGAGCGGAAGGGAGACCCUAUGUUGACAAAAGAAGCUACAGAUUUCUGUGGAUACUGAAAUCCUAUAAAAUUGGUAUCUUUCCUUUUCAACUUUUAAAAGUCUUUUUCAGAUAACUCAAGCAUCUGCUUUAUGACAGGACUUCAAUCAGCAUGGAGUUAAGUAUGACUAUCCUCUAUUUCUUUUUAUAGAACGGAUUAAUUGUGUUUUACAUCUUCUAAGUGACAAUUAUUCUGAUGGAUUCCUCUCACAAUUUCUGUCCUCUGCAGGCUCGGCUGGGUGACAACUGAUGUUCUUUCAACAGCAUAAAAAUCUGACCUAUAAGAACCUGACCUGAACUGGCUUAUGAGCAAGAAAUGAAAUUUCAUUUUAUGUGAAUCAUUGUGUAUUUUUACUCUCUUUGUUUUAUUACAAUAGCCUACUCUACUUAAUUUGUUCUUAUAAAUUGGGUUAGCACAGUGUUUUAACCUAGAAAAUAGCAUUGCUCAUUCAAAUAUGAAAGUUAGCCACUUACAGUAUUUAUGAUUUUGGAAUUAAAUUUUAACAGCUAAAAGCUCAUAUUUUAUAGAUCGAUCUUAAUAAUUCCCUAAUAUAAAAUUAUACUCAUAAUCACUACAUUAAUAUGCAAGCAGAAUU
Molecule: long non-coding RNA, 1126 nt
Filed under: Canis lupus familiaris (dog)
Lineage: Eukaryota; Metazoa; Chordata; Mammalia; Carnivora; Canidae
Description: lncRNA (ENSCAFG00040011894.1)
Source: RNAcentral